This 398-nucleotide ribosomal RNA is filed under the name uncultured bacterium. RNAcentral describes it as "bacterial SSU rRNA". It matches the Rfam family "Bacterial small subunit ribosomal RNA", at positions 29 to 414 of the family's 1533-position model. The record is from RNAcentral.
AACGAACGCUGGCGGCGUGCUUAACACAUGCAAGUCGAACGUGAAAGACUUCGGUCGAGUAAAGUGGCGAACGGGUGAGUAACGCGUGGGUAAUCUGCCCUCGGGCGGGGGAUAACCUCUCGAAAGGGGGGCGUAAUACCGCAUGAGACCACGGCUUCUUGGAGCUGUGGGAAAAGGUGGGUCGCAAGACCAGCCACCUGAGGAUGAGCCCGCGUACCAUUAGGUAGUUGGUGGGGUAAUGGCCUACCAAGCCCGAGAUGGUUAGCUGGUCUGAGAGGACGAUCAGCCACACUGGGACUGAGACACGGCCCAGACUCCUACGGGAGGCAGCAGUGGGGAAUAUUGCGCAAUGGGGGAAACCCGUACGACGCAGCAACGACCGCCGUGUGUGAAGAAGG